GUGGGGAAUUUUGGACAAUGGGCGCAAGCCUGAUCCAGCAAUGCCGCGUGCAGGAAGAAGGCCUUCGGGUUGUAAACUGCUUUUGUACGGAACGAAACGGUCCUGGCUAAUAUCCGGGGCUAAUGACGGUACCGUAAGAAUAAGCACCGGCUAACUACGUGCCAGCAGCCGCGGUAAUACGUAGGGUGCGAGCGUUAAUCGGAAUUACUGGGCGUAAAGCGUGCGCAGGCGGUGCUGUAAGACAGGCGUGACAUCCCCGGGCUCAACCUGGGAAUUGCGCUUGUGGCGGCAGUGCUGGAGUGCGGCAGCGGGGGAUGGAAUUCCGCGUGUAGCAGUGAAAGGCGUAGAUAUGCGGAGGAACACCGAUGGCGAAGGCAAUCCCCUGGGCCUGCACUGACGCUCAUGCACGAAAGCGUGGGGAGCAAACAGGAUUAGAUACCCGAGUAGUCC
Molecule: ribosomal RNA, 450 nt
Filed under: uncultured bacterium
Lineage: Bacteria
Description: partial 16S ribosomal RNA
Rfam family: Bacterial small subunit ribosomal RNA
Source: RNAcentral